Molecule: ribosomal RNA, 327 nt
Filed under: uncultured eukaryote
Lineage: Eukaryota
Description: partial 18S ribosomal RNA
Rfam family: Eukaryotic small subunit ribosomal RNA
Source: RNAcentral
CCCUUAGAUGUCCUGGGCCGCACGCGCGUUACACUGAUGCAUUCAACGAGCUUAUAACCUUGGCCGAGAGGCCUGGGCAAUCUUGUUAACGUGCAUCGUGAUAGGGAUAGAUUAUUGAAAUUAUUAAUCUUGAACGAGGAAUUCCUAGUAAACGCAAGUCAUCAGCUUGCAUUGAUUACGUCCCUGCCCUUUGUACACACCGCCCGUCGCACCUACCGAUUGAAUGGUCCGGUGAAAGCCUCGGACCGUGGCAGCGUUGCUUUAUUGGAGCGCCGCCGUGGGAAGUUGUUUAAACCUUACCAUUUAGAGGAAGGUGAAGUCGUAACA